This 762-nucleotide unclassified non-coding RNA is filed under the name Hevea brasiliensis (rubber tree). Lineage: Eukaryota; Viridiplantae; Streptophyta; Magnoliopsida; Malpighiales; Euphorbiaceae. The record is from RNAcentral.
CGCUGAUAGAUCUCAAAAUGUUGCAAGGGCAGUAGGAGCAGUAGAAGUUAAACAGAUUUACCGCUGUAUCCAGCUUUCAGUCCAACACAUAUUUGAUUUCUUAAAUAAAAAGAUUGGAGGGAACUCUUUAAGGGAGUUCCUAUUUGGCCAAGUUGUAGCCUCCAAGCUAGCUGGCGCUGGUACUGCAAAAUCUGGAAAAAAGGAGGUGCAAUCUGUUGCACUUUCAAAAGGAAAUAAGAAAACUGUACAUGUUGAUUCUAUCUUGACAAAAAGCAGGACAUCUGUGAAAAGUCCGAGAGGGAUGGCACAAGGAAAGCAUAAACUUCUGGGGCCAACUGACUCCUCCUUGACAAAAAGAAGUCGAACAGAUGAUUGGUUGGGUGGCACUUUCUCUGAGUUGUCAAGAAGGCAGCCAGGAGAACAGCCUAUGCCUUACUACUUGACGAAUAGUUGGGGACCAAUGUCAAUGAUCUCAAGAGAAGCCAUGUACAAUAGGCCUCAACCUGUUCCGUUUGAACCUACCUAUGGAAGGAUGAGAUUCGCAGAACAUUCUGGAGACCCAAAUCUGAUUGCUCCAGCUGUUCCUCAUAUGUUUCCGUCCAGGCACCCUAUAGGUAGUCAAAUUUCUUAUGAGCCUCUGAGACAUCCUGUUGGUUAUCUUAAUUCAGUUUUUGAUUCUAGGCAAUCCUCAGCAUAUAUUUUGCCCCCUCAUUCUAGGCGGUUUUGAUGUGUAAGGUUAAACCUAAUGAUUCCCCAUCAAUG